Molecule: long non-coding RNA, 838 nt
Filed under: Mytilus galloprovincialis (Mediterranean mussel)
Lineage: Eukaryota; Metazoa; Mollusca; Bivalvia; Mytilida; Mytilidae
Source: RNAcentral
AUAAACUGUAAACAGCAAUAAUGUUCAGCAAAGUAAGAUUUACAAAUAAGUCAAACAUGACCAAAAUGGCCAAUUGACCACUUUAGGAGUUAUUGCCCUUUAUAGUCAAUUUUUAACCAUUUUUCGUAAAUCUUAGUUAUCUUUUAGAAAAAUCUUCUCCUCUGAAACAACUGGGCCAAAUUUAACCAAACUUAGCCAUAAUCAUCAUUGGGGUAUCUAGUUUAAAAAAAUGUGUCUGGUAACUCGGCCAACAAACCAAGAUGGCUGCCAUGGCUAAAAAUAGAACAUGGGGGUAAAAUGCAGUUUUUGGCUUAUAACGCAAAAACCAAAGCAUUAAGAGCAAAUCUGACAGGAAGUAAAAUUGUUGAUCAGGUCAUGAUCUAUCUGCCCUGGAAUUUUCAGAUGAAUCGGAUAAUCGGUUGUUAGGUUGCUGCCCCUGAAUUGGUAAUUUUGAGGAAAUUUUGCUGUUUUUUUGUUAUCUUGAAUAUUAUUAUAGAUAGAGAUAAACUGUAAACAGCAAUAAUGUACAGCAAAGUAAGAACUAAAAAUAAGUCACUAUGACCAAAAUAGUCAAUUGACCCCCUAAGGAGUUAUUGCCCUUUAUAGUCAAUUUUUAACAAUUUUCUUAAAAUUUGGAGAUUUUCAAUAACAUUUUCCACAGAAAGUACUGUUAUAGAUAGAGAUAAUUGUAAGCAGCAAGAAUGUUUAGUAAAGUAAGAUCUACAAACACAUCACCAUCACCAAAACACAAUUUUGUCAUGAAUCCAUCUGUGUCCAUUGUUUAAUAUUCACAUAGACCAAGGUGAGCGACACAGGCUCUUUAGAGCCUCUAGUUUAC